This 510-nucleotide ribosomal RNA is filed under the name Streptomyces flavotricini. RNAcentral describes it as "bacterial SSU rRNA". It matches the Rfam family "Bacterial small subunit ribosomal RNA", at positions 142 to 665 of the family's 1533-position model. The record is from RNAcentral. Lineage: Bacteria; Bacillati; Actinomycetota; Actinomycetes; Kitasatosporales; Streptomycetaceae.
UACAAGCCCCCCUGAACGGGGUCUAAUACCGGAUACGACUGCGGAAGGCAUCUUCUGUGGUGGAAAGCUCCGGCGGUGAAGGAUGAGCCCGCGGCCUAUCAGCUUGUUGGUGGGGUAAUGGCCUACCAAGGCGACGACGGGUAGCCGGCCUGAGAGGGCGACCGGCCACACUGGGACUGAGACACGGCCCAGACUCCUACGGGAGGCAGCAGUGGGGAAUAUUGCACAAUGGGCGAAAGCCUGAUGCAGCGACGCCGCGUGAGGGAUGACGGCCUUCGGGUUGUAAACCUCUUUCAGCAGGGAAGAAGCGAAAGUGACGGUACCUGCAGAAGAAGCGCCGGCUAACUACGUGCCAGCAGCCGCGGUAAUACGUAGGGCGCAAGCGUUGUCCGGAAUUAUUGGGCGUAAAGAGCUCGUAGGCGGCUUGUCACGUCGGAUGUGAAAGCCCGAGGCUUAACCUCGGGUCUGCAUUCGAUACGGGCUAGCUAGAGUGUGGUAGGGGAGACGGUU